This 87-nucleotide transfer RNA is filed under the name Synechococcus sp. CC9902. Its description in RNAcentral is "tRNA-Leu". Lineage: Bacteria; Bacillati; Cyanobacteriota; Cyanophyceae; Synechococcales; Synechococcaceae. The record is from RNAcentral.
GACGGAUCGAAAUAUCGACCAAAUGCGAAAUCAACUGGAUCGGCUCGGACUGUCCAUCGAUUGGGAUCGCGAACAAGCCACGUGCCA